GAUAGAUCUACAUUUCACUGUGGUUCUUGAAUCAGACAACCAUUAAGUAAAUUAUUAUACCAAAUUUCUAGUUUGCUCCAUUUGUUCUCCAGAUUUUAGGAAUAAGUCUCUCCAGGCUACAUUCCUGGGACUGCUGGCCCUUUCUGUUAUAACUUGUUAAUUGCCAGGGAUUAAAGUUCAAUUAUGAGUGGCUACUAGUAGAUCUAAAUAUGCCUAACAACAUUUAUAUAUUGAAAGAAUAUAUUUUACCUUAUUCUAAUCAGCAAAUGAGAGACCUAAAUAUAUAGACACGUUUUAGGCUAGUGCCCAAGUUUUAGUCUUGUAGACCACUGACAUUAUUCCUCGCCACUCAAAUUUUUGUCUGUAGACCUGAAACAACAGUAUUAUCUAGGAUCUUAUUAGAAAUACACAAUCUAAGGUGAUUUCAACACCUAUUGAAUCAUACGUAAUGUGCCUUUUCACAAAAUCCUCAGUUCAUUUUUAUGUCUAUGAAAAUUUGAGAAGCUGUUGUAAGUCAUUUUGACUUUUUAAACCCUUUCCUGAAAGUGAUUAAAGGUUUUCUUUGUACUUUUAUUACUACUUUGGUGAGAAUAAAACACAGGGAAAACAAGGAAAGAAAAUUUUCAUUACACGCAGGCCAGCACUAGGCUUUGUUAGACACCAUAGAAAAGCACAGGAUUCUAAUGGAAUGGUAGCAAAGAUAAGUGGCAAAAGAAUUCAACAGUUUUGCCACCUGUUGAUAUUAUUGAAAAUCUCUUUAAAGCAAUUGGAAAUCCUCAUUCAGAAAUAAUGUAACCUGCCUGUCAGGAGCCUUUUGAACACUUGUAACUAAUUGACAUUCACCGCUCCAGGCAUCAAAUGCAUUUACUAUGCUCUUGGGGUACAGUUUAACUUGAAGUUGACAUAUUGAAUGCAGAGUUACCGACAGGAAAGGCAUGAAGUCCACUUUGAAGGCGAGCAUCUUUCAGUUCUGGAACACACAGAACAUUGGCCCAGUGAUACGAGUUCUGAGUCAUACUGCUGAUUUGUUGCAGAGAUAAACAAAUCUGGAAUCCCAUAAUUCUACGAUUAAGUAUGUGCAAUGUGUGGGGAAAUCGCUUACAACAGAGUAGAGUAAGUCCUGGGAUUAUACUUAAAAAAGAAAAUGCUGAGGCUUAUUUCCCUCUACUUAACCCUAAGAAAAAUAAUCUGAGGCCUGUGUUUCAUUUUCAUCAACUGCAAACUUGGAUGCUGGAUCUUCCUACUAGAGCUCACUGAUUGCCCAGGGUUGAGGUACAAGAAUUAUGAAGGUGUAUUGCAAGUGUCAGAAAAAUUCUGAUACAAAAUGAUCUACCUUAUUUUGGAAUUAAGAAACACUUGAAGAUUAUUCUCAGAAAUGCCAUAAGGGAUAUUUAAAAAUCUUGGAGCACACAAGAAGUACAAGAGGAAUGAAAAUGUCAUGUCUUAAUUUUCCAAAAAAGAGAAUAUUUUAGUUUUUAGUAUAUAAAGGCAGAUUAACAAACCUUCACACAAAUCUAAAUUUUAUUACUAAAUUAAUUGAUUACACUUUGUGUUUACUAGGUCACAGGGAAUUUCAGUGGGUUUACUCUGCAAAAGAUUUCAUGUGAAAUACAUUUUUCUAUUCUGAAAGGUUUUUCAAGAUUUUCAAGGCAACUAAGAAGUUUUCUAAAAAGACAGUGUUUGUAAUACAGGCUCUAUAGAAAGCAUCGUUGUGGAGGCCUCAGGAAACUUACAAUCAUGGCAGAAGGCGAAGGGAAGCAGGCACAUCUUACGUGGCUGGAGAAGGAGGAAGAGAGAGCAGAGGAAGGUGCUACACAUUUUUAAACAACCGGAUCUCAUGAGAACUCACUCACUAUCACAAGAACAGCAGGGAAAUCCACCCCCAUGAUUCUAUCACCUCCCACUAGCCCUCUCCUCCUUCAACACUGGGGAUUACAACUCCACAUAAGGUUUGGGCAGGGACACACAUCCAAACCAUAUCAUCACUAAUUAAUGUUUCUGAAAGCUAGAGUUACAUUACAACCACCUGAGGAGCUUUUAGAAAAUUACAGAUCCCUGAGCUUCCAUCUAGAUUGAUUAAAUAAAAAUAUCUGGGCUUGAAUUCCUCGAGUUUGCAUUUUUUAAACUUUGUCAGUGAUUCUGAUGGUCAAUGAGUUUUGAGAACCACCGCUCUAAACCUUUCUGAAAUUUCUUCUUGUUCUAUAAAGUGAGGAUAAUAAUAUGAUAAGGAUAUCUCUGUCACAAUUUGAUGUAAGACAUAUAAAUAACUUAACCUAAAUCAGGUUCUCAGCACUGUAUCAGCUUAUAGAAGUAGAACGAGUAUGCAUUUUGCAAAUGAGUUCCUAAUCUAGCUGCAGUAUUUCCUAGGUCUGUCACAGUCAAGUCAUAGGACUUUGGAGAUUCAGUUUCCUCAUUUCUCAUAGGACCUUGGAGCCUCAGUUUUUCU
This 2446-nucleotide long non-coding RNA is filed under the name Homo sapiens (human). RNAcentral's name for it is "HSALNT0191908". The record is from RNAcentral. Lineage: Eukaryota; Metazoa; Chordata; Mammalia; Primates; Hominidae.